GCCACACUGGAACUGAGACACGGUCCAGACUCCUACGGGAGGCAGCAGUAGGGAAUCUUCCGCAAUGGGCGAAAGCCUGACGGAGCAACGCCGCGUGAGUGAUGAAGGUCUUAGGAUCGUAAAACUCUGUUGUUAGGGAAGAACAAAUUUGUUAAUAACUGAACAAGUCUUGACGGUACCUAACCAGAAAGCCACGGCUAACUACGUGCCAGCAGCCGCGGUAAUACGUAGGGGGCAAGCGUUGUCCGGAAUUAUUGGGCGUAAAGGGCGCGCAGGCGGCCUCUUAAGUCUGAUGUGAAAUCUUGUGGCUUAACCACAAGCGGUCAUUGGAAACUGGGAAGCUUGAGUGCAGAAGAGGAGAGUGGAAUUCCACGUGUAGCGGUGAAAUGCGUAGAGAUGUGGAGGAACACCAGUGGCGAAGGCGACUCUCUGGUCUGUAACUGACGCUGAGGCGCGAAAGCGUGGGGAGCGAACAGGAUUAGAUACCCUGGUAGUCCACGCCGUAAACGAUGAGUGCUAGGUGUUAAGGGGUUUCCGCCCCUUAGUGCUGGAG
Molecule: ribosomal RNA, 553 nt
Filed under: uncultured bacterium
Lineage: Bacteria
Description: bacterial SSU rRNA
Rfam family: Bacterial small subunit ribosomal RNA
Source: RNAcentral